RNAcentral lists this long non-coding RNA (442 nucleotides) under Equus caballus (horse). RNAcentral describes it as "lncRNA (ENSECAG00000056594.1)". Lineage: Eukaryota; Metazoa; Chordata; Mammalia; Perissodactyla; Equidae. The record is from RNAcentral.
GGGCACAGAAAGUUUGCAGUGGGCAUGGAAGAAAAAAACACAUGAAAGACUCUGAAAAAGCAAGGACAGGGAGUAACAGAGACACAUUACAGGAUAGGCAUCAACAAUGGAAAUGAGCAGAACUCGGCUUUGCACAGAGCUCUUGAGACAUCAACAAAUUGACAAAAACAAGGAUCUCAUCCAUAAGACCACGCUACAUUUGGUCAUCACAUCUCCUCAGACUUCUCUACCCUGGAACAAUUCUCAGACUUUCCUUGUUUGUAAUGGCCUUGGCAGUUGUGAGGAGUACUGGUCAGGUUCUCAAGGACUGGAAUGAUGCCCACUGUCAUGGGUGAAGGCAGAUCUUCUUUACUCAGGCUAUUGACUCAAAUGCUAUCCUCUUCCAGAGAUACCUUCACAUGCACAUCAAGAAAUAAUGUUUUACCAGCCAUCUUGACAUCCC